AGGACGAACGCUGGCGGCGUGCUUAACACAUGCAAGUCGAACGAUGAUCCGGUUUCGGCCGGGGAUUAGUGGCGAACGGGUGAGUAACACGUGGGCAACCUGCCCUCCACUCUGGGAUAACUCCGGGAAACCGGGGCUAAUACUGGAUACGACCUUCGGGCGCAUGCCUGGGGGUGGAAAGUUUUUCGGUGGAGGAUGGGCCCGCGGCCUAUCAGCUUGUUGGUGGGUGAUGGCCUACCAAGGCGGUGACGGGUA
This 255-nucleotide ribosomal RNA is filed under the name uncultured bacterium. Its description in RNAcentral is "partial small subunit ribosomal RNA". It matches the Rfam family "Bacterial small subunit ribosomal RNA", at positions 26 to 285 of the family's 1533-position model. The record is from RNAcentral.